Molecule: ribosomal RNA, 524 nt
Filed under: uncultured bacterium
Lineage: Bacteria
Description: bacterial SSU rRNA
Rfam family: Bacterial small subunit ribosomal RNA
Source: RNAcentral
AAUAGAUACCCGGGUAGUCCACGCCGUAAACGAUGUCGACUUGGAGGUUGUGCCCUUGAGGCGUGGCUUCCGGAGCUAACGCGUUAAGUCGACCGCCUGGGGAGUACGGCCGCAAGGUUAAAACUCAAAUGAAUUGACGGGGGCCCGCACAAGCGGUGGAGCAUGUGGUUUAAUUCGAUGCAACGCGAAGAGCCUUACCUACUCUUGACAUCCAGAGAACUUAGCAGAGAUGCUUUGGUGCCUUCGGGAACUCUGAGACAGGUGCUGCAUGGCUGUCGUCAGCUCGUGUUGUGAAAUGUUGGGUUAAGUCCCGCAACGAGCGCAACCCUUAUCCUUUGUUGCCAGCGAUUCGGUCGGGAACUCAAAGGAGACUGCCAGUGAUAAACUGGAGGAAGGUGGGGAUGACGUCAAGUCAUCAUGGCCCUUACGAGUAGGGCUACACACGUGCUACAAUGGCAUAUACAAAGAGAAGCGACCUCGCGAGAGCAAGCGGACCUCAUAAAGUAUGUCGUAGUCCGGAUUGG